RNAcentral lists this unclassified non-coding RNA (199 nucleotides) under soil metagenome. RNAcentral's name for it is "partial internal transcribed spacer 1". The record is from RNAcentral.
CCGAGUUUACAACUCCCAAACCCAAUGUGAACGUUGCCAAACUGUUGCCUCGGCGGGAUCUUCUGCCCCGGGUGCGUCGCAGCCCCGGACCAAGGCGCCCGCCGGAGGACCAACUCCAAAACUCUUUUGUAUACCCCUCGCGGGUUUUUUAUAUCUGAGCCAUCUCGGCGCCUCUCGUAGGCGUUUCGAAAAUGAAUCA